RNAcentral lists this ribosomal RNA (212 nucleotides) under uncultured Gymnodiniales. RNAcentral's name for it is "partial 18S ribosomal RNA". It matches the Rfam family "Eukaryotic small subunit ribosomal RNA", at positions 1461 to 1672 of the family's 1831-position model. Lineage: Eukaryota; Dinophyceae; Gymnodiniales. The record is from RNAcentral.
UCUGUGAUGCCCUUAGAUGUUCUGGGCUGCACGCGCGCUACACUGAUGCACUCAACGAGUUUACGACCUUGCCUGGAAAGGUUGGGUAAUCUUUUUAAAAUGCAUCGUGAUGGGGAUAGAUUAUUGCAAUUAUUAAUCUUCAACGAGGAAUUCCUAGUAAGCGCGAGUCAUCAGCUCGUGCUGAUUACGUCCCUGCCCUUUGUACACACCGC